RNAcentral lists this ribosomal RNA (496 nucleotides) under uncultured bacterium. RNAcentral's name for it is "partial 16S ribosomal RNA". It matches the Rfam family "Bacterial small subunit ribosomal RNA", at positions 28 to 507 of the family's 1533-position model. The record is from RNAcentral.
GAUGAACGCUGGCGGCGUGCCUAAUACAUGCAAGUCGAGCGAACAGACGAGGAGCUUGCUCCUCUGACGUUAGCGGCGGACGGGUGAGUAACACGUGGAUAACCUACCUAUAAGACUGGGAUAACUUCGGGAAACCGGAGCUAAUACCGGAUAAUAUAUUGAACCGCAUGGUUCAAUAGUGAAAGACGGUUUUGCUGUCACUUAUAGAUGGAUCCGCGCCGCAUUAGCUAGUUGGUAAGGAACGGCUUACCAAGGCAACGAUGCGUAGCCGACCUGAGAGGGUGAUCGGCCACACUGGAACUGAGACACGGUCCAGACGCCUACGGGAGGCAGCAGUAGGGAAUCUUCCGCAAUGGGCGAAAGCUUGACGGAGCAACGCCGCGUGAGUGAUGAAGGUCUUCGGAUCGUAAAACUCUGUUAUUAGGGAAGAACAAAUGUGUAAGUAACUAUGCACGUCUUGACGGUACCUAAUCAGAAAGCCACGGCUAACUACGUG